UACGUAGGGGGCAAGCGUUGUCCGGAUUUAUUGGGCGUAAAGAGCGUGUAGGCGGUCUGGUAGGUCCGUUGUGAAAACUCGAGGCUCAACCUCGAGACGCCGAUGGAAACCAUCAGACUAGAGUCCGGAAGAGGAGAGUGGAAUUCCUGGUGUAGCGGUGAAAUGCGCAGAUAUCAGGAAGAACACCCGUGGCUAAGGCGGUUCUCUAGUACGGUACUGACGCUGAGACGCGAAAGCGUGGGGAGCGAACAGG
Molecule: ribosomal RNA, 253 nt
Filed under: uncultured bacterium
Lineage: Bacteria
Description: partial 16S ribosomal RNA
Rfam family: Bacterial small subunit ribosomal RNA
Source: RNAcentral